CUCAAGCUACCACUUACUGUUGAUUGUGAUGAAAUGCCAGCUGAGGCACACGCCUUGGGAGCUAAGUGGUUGCUGCCCUUGACUACUAUGAAGACUGGUGUGGGAAGGGUCGCUUUGGAUGCACUUGAGCAGGGGUCCCCAACCCCUGAGCCAUGGAGCCGUAAGGAGCCACACAGCAGGUGAGUGGUGUCGAGUGAGGGAGUGAGGGAAGCUUCGUCUGUAUUUACAGCCACUCCCCUUUGCUCACAUUCCCGCCUGAGCUCCACCUUCUCAGAUGAGCAGCAGCAUUAGAUUCUCAUAGGAGAACGCACCCUGUUGUGAACCGUGCAUGUGAGGGAUCUAGGUUGCGCUGUGCUUAUGAGAAUCUAAUACCUAUUGAUCUGUCACUUUCCCCCAUCACGCUCAGGUGGGACCAUCCAGUUUCAGGAAAACAAGCUUAACACGCCCACUGAUUCUACAUUAUGCUCCUACCUCCCGGCAGCCUCGCCAGGCCCAGAACUCUCUCCAGUCAGCCUCUACAGACCAAGCUCAUGACUCACAAUGGCCUAUUUAGGCCCAUACCCUACCUCACGGCAGUCUCCUCAGAGGAGCCUACUGCCUCACAACAGCCUCCACAGGCACAGCUCCAUCGUUACAAUGGCCUCUUUAGACCCAGCUCCUGCCUCCCAGCCUUCUCUCCAGGCCCUGAACUUUCUCCGUGGGAUCAUCCAGUUUCAGGAAAACAAGCUUAACACGCCCACUGAUUCUACAUUAUGCUCCUACCUCCCGGCAGCCUCGCCAGGCCCAGAACUCUCUCCAGUCAGCCUCUACAGACCAAGCUCAUGACUCACAAUGGCCUAUUUAGGCCCAUACCCUACCUCACAGCAGUCUCCGCAGAUGAGCCUACUGCCUCACAACAGCCUCCACAGGCACAGCUCCAUCGUUACAAUGGCCUCUUUAGACCCAGCUCCUGCCUCCCAGCCUUCUCUCCAGGCCCUGAACUUUCUCCGUAAGUUGAGGUAGCUGGGACUGUAGGUAUACAUGACGAUACUUGGCUAAUUUUUAAAUUGUUUUGCAGACAUGGGGUCUCACUUUGUUGGCCAGGCUGCUGUCAAACUAAUGGCCUCAAGUGACCCUUCCACCCCUGCCUCCCAUCCUCGAGGUAUGUGCCACCACAAGGAGCACUUGUUCAAUUUUCUAAAGAAAAAAUUUCUAAAGUAAGGCUGUGGGAUGAUGGCAGGAAGAUAAAAGAAAAACAGAAGAAUAAGUUAAAAUGACUUAUUCACACAUAUUCUUUUGACAGCAAGAAGAACUGUUAGUAUAUGCAUUCCUUACAAACAAAGAAACGGCAGAUAAACAAUGUUGUAUAGGAACUUCAACACACACUGUACAAUAUUCCCACUUUGCUGACAUAAGUUAUGGAAAUUUCGUGGUUUCCUUGAGUGUCGCUACCAGUAUUUUGCUUCUCUGAUGAUUUUUAUCAACUUCCUCAUCUGUUAACUUCUCUCCAAGGUAUGUCAUGUCACGACAUGCUGCCGCUGCACGAACACGGCCAGUGUCUUCCUAUUAAACAUGUAGAAUGCUUUCCUAA
This is a long non-coding RNA of Gorilla gorilla gorilla (western lowland gorilla), 1570 nucleotides long. RefSeq lists it as uncharacterized. The transcript is spliced from 4 exons. Lineage: Eukaryota; Metazoa; Chordata; Mammalia; Primates; Hominidae. The record is from RefSeq and is a predicted model, not a curated record.